This 493-nucleotide ribosomal RNA is filed under the name Trafana sp. 1 BFS-2018. RNAcentral's name for it is "partial 16S large subunit ribosomal RNA". The stretch from base 357 to 493 matches the Rfam family "Archaeal large subunit ribosomal RNA", at positions 2544 to 2680 of the family's 2987-position model. Lineage: Eukaryota; Metazoa; Arthropoda; Insecta; Hymenoptera; Ichneumonidae. The record is from RNAcentral.
AUCUGCUCCAUGAAAAAUUUUAAAUAGCUGCAGAAUUUUAACUGUACAAAGGUAGCAUAAUCAAUAGUUUUUUAAUUAAAAGCUGGUAUGAAUGAUUUGAUAAGGUAAUUAUUGUCUCAAAUUUAUUAAAAUUAGAAUUUUUUUUUUUGUUAAAAAACUAAAAUGAAUUUAAAAGACGAGAAGACCCUAUAGAUUUUUAUAUUAUUAAUUAAUUAAAUUAAAAUUUAUUAAUAAAAUUUAAUUAAAUAAUAUUUGAUUGGGGAAAUUAUUAAAAUGAAAAAAUUUUAAUUUAAGAUAAACAUUAAUUUUUGGUAAUUUGAACUUAAUUAAAAAUUUAAAGAAUAAAUUACCUUAGGGAUAACAGCGUAAUUUUUUUGGGGAGAUCUUAUUGAUAAAAAAGUUUGCGACCUCGAUGUUGAAUUAAGAUAAAAUUUUAAUGUARAAAUUAAAAAUUUUUGGUCUGUUCGACCAUUAAAAUCUUACGUGAUCUGAG